AUCUACGGCUGUACUACCCUGAACAAGCCCUAUCCCGUCUGAUCUCGGAAGCUAAGCAGGCUUGGUUAGUACUUGGAUGGAAGACCACCUAGGAAGACCGGGUGCUGUAGGCA
RNAcentral lists this ribosomal RNA (113 nucleotides) under Pteropus alecto (black flying fox). The record is from RNAcentral. Lineage: Eukaryota; Metazoa; Chordata; Mammalia; Chiroptera; Pteropodidae.